This 253-nucleotide ribosomal RNA is filed under the name uncultured bacterium. RNAcentral describes it as "partial 16S ribosomal RNA". It matches the Rfam family "Bacterial small subunit ribosomal RNA", at positions 524 to 776 of the family's 1533-position model. The record is from RNAcentral.
UACAGAGGUCUCGAGCGUUAGGCGGAAUCACUGGGCUUAAAGCGUGUGUAGGCGGAUUGCUAAGUACCUUGUGAAAUCCCACGGCUUAACCGUGGAACUGCUUGGUAUACUGGCUGUCUUGAGCCACUUAGGGGCAACCGGAACAAACGGUGGAGCGGUGAAAUGCGUAGAUAUCGUUUGGAACGCCAAUGGUGAAAACAGGUUGCUGGGAGUGUGCUGACGCUGAGACACGAAAGCCAGGGGAGCAAACAGG